GACGAACGCUGGCGGCGUGCCUAAUACAUGCAAGUAGAACGCACAGUUUAUACCGUAGCUUGCUACACCAUAGACUGUGAGUUGCGAACGGGUGAGUAACGCGUAGGUAACCUGCCUGGUAGCGGGGGAUAACUAUUGGAAACGAUAGCUAAUACCGCAUAAUAUUAAUUAUUGCAUGAUAAUUAAUUGAAAGGUGCAAUUGCACCACUACCAGAUGGACCUGCGCUGUAUUAGCUAGUAGGUGAGGUAACGGCUCACCUAGGCGACGAUACAUAGCCGACCUGAGAGGGUGAUCGGCCACACUGGGACUGAGACACGGCCCAGACUCCUACGGGAGGCAGCAGUAGGGAAUCUUCGGCAAUGGACGAAAGUCUGACCGAGCAACGCCGCGUGAGUGAAGAAGGUUUUCGGAUCGUAAAGCUCGGUUGUAAGAGAAGAACGGGUGUGAGAGUGGAAAGUUCACACUGUGACGGUAUCUUACCAGAAAGGGACGGCUAACUACGUG
RNAcentral lists this ribosomal RNA (505 nucleotides) under uncultured bacterium. RNAcentral describes it as "partial 16S ribosomal RNA". It matches the Rfam family "Bacterial small subunit ribosomal RNA", at positions 28 to 507 of the family's 1533-position model. The record is from RNAcentral.